CCUACGGGAGGCAGCAGUGGGGAAUAUUGCGCAAUGGGCGAAAGCCUGACGCAGCGACGCCGCGUGAGGGAUGAAGGUCUUCGGAUCGUAAACCUCUUUCAGCAGGGAAGAACGGUCACUUUGCUAGUCAGCCAUGCAUUGACUGUACCUGCAAAGGACGCACCGGCUAACUCCGUGCCAGCCGCCGCGGUAAUACGGAGGGUGCGAGCGUUAAUCGGAAUUACUGGGCGUAAAGCGCUCGUAGGCGGUAUGUCAAGUCAAGGGGGAAAUCCCCGCGCUCAACGUGGGAACUGCCUUUGAAACUGGCAAACUGGAGUGUGUGAGAGGAGAGUGGAAGUCCAGGUGUAGGAGUGAAAUCCGUAGAUAUCUGGAGGAACAGCAGUGGCGAAGGCGACUAGCUGGAACAGAACUGACGCUGAGGAGCGAAAGCGUGGGUAGCAAACAGGAUUAGAUACCCCGGUAGUC
Molecule: ribosomal RNA, 465 nt
Filed under: uncultured bacterium
Lineage: Bacteria
Description: partial 16S ribosomal RNA
Rfam family: Bacterial small subunit ribosomal RNA
Source: RNAcentral